This 396-nucleotide ribosomal RNA is filed under the name Triticum aestivum (bread wheat). Its description in RNAcentral is "partial small subunit ribosomal RNA". Lineage: Eukaryota; Viridiplantae; Streptophyta; Magnoliopsida; Poales; Poaceae. The record is from RNAcentral.
AUGCCUAACAGAGGUCACAACCCCGAACCCCGCCGCCCAGAUCCAGCCAAGGUGGAUCCCAGGCCCCGGGUUGCACCAGCCGUCGAGGCAGCACCACCGGCAGCAGGCGCCCCACCACCUCCGAUGCCGAGCAGGGACGCCACCGUGUCUCCGCUGCGCCACACCGCCAAUGUCACCGGCGGCCAGAUCCGAGCCGUCGUUGGGGGGAGGGGGGAGGGGAGCUGCGCCGGAAAGAUGCCCCCCCGCCGCCGCACUGCCAGGGCUUUGCCCCGCAGCGGACCACGACGUCGGCGAGGAAGGGAGGCGGGGAAGGAGGCGCCGGCGGCGAGGCGGAUAGGGUUCCCCCGUGUUGCCUUAGAGAGGGACGCGGGGGUCAGGAGAGAGGAUUAUAGUUAG